Molecule: ribosomal RNA, 439 nt
Filed under: uncultured bacterium
Lineage: Bacteria
Description: bacterial SSU rRNA
Rfam family: Bacterial small subunit ribosomal RNA
Source: RNAcentral
UACGGAAGGCAGCAGUGGGGAAUAUUGCACAAUGGGCGCAAGCCUGAUGCAGCCAUGCCGCGUGUAUGAAGAAGGCCUUCGGGUUGUAAAGUACUUUCAGUCGUGAGGAAGGUGUUAAGGUUAAUAACCUUAGCAAUUGACGUUAGCGACAGAAGAAGCACCGGCUAACUCCGUGCCAGCAGCCGUGGUAAUACGGAGGGUGCGAGCGUUAAUCGGAAUUACUGGGCGUAAAGGGCACGCAGGCGGUUAAUUAAGUUGGAUGUGAAAUCCCCGGGCUUAACCUGGGAAUGGCAUUCAAGACUGGUUAGCUAGAGUCUUGUAGAGGGGGUAGAAUUCCAUGUGUAGCGGUGAAAUGCGUAGAGAUGUGGAGGAAUACCGGUGGCGAAGGCGGCCCCUGGACAAAGACUGACGCUCAUGUGCGAAAGCGUGGGGAGCAAAC